Molecule: ribosomal RNA, 434 nt
Filed under: uncultured bacterium
Lineage: Bacteria
Description: partial 16S ribosomal RNA
Rfam family: Bacterial small subunit ribosomal RNA
Source: RNAcentral
AGCGAACGCUGGCGGCAGGCCUAACACAUGCCAGUCGAACGAACCUUUCGGGGUUAGUGGCGGACGGGUGAGUAACACGUGGGAACUUGCCUUUAGGUUCGGAAUAACUCAGGGAAACUUGUGCUAAUACCGAAUGUGCCCUUCGGGGGAAAGAUUAAUCGCCUUUAGAGCGGCCCGCGUCUGAUUAGCUAGUUGGUUGAGGUAAUGGCUCACCAAGGCGACGAUCAGUAGCUGGUCUGAGAGGAUGAUCAGCCACAUUGGGACUGAGACACGGCCCAAACUCCUACGGGAGGCAGCAGUGGGGAAUCUUGCGCAAUGGGCGAAAGCCUGACGCAGCCAUGCCGCGUGAAUGAUGAAGGUCUUAGGAUUGUAAAAUUCUUUCACCGGGGACGAUAAUGACGGUACCCGGAGAAGAAGCCCCGGCUAACUUCGUG